This 72-nucleotide transfer RNA is filed under the name Fukomys damarensis (Damara mole-rat). It matches the Rfam family "tRNA". Rfam says of the family: Transfer RNA (tRNA) molecules are approximately 80 nucleotides in length. Their secondary structure includes four short double-helical elements and three loops (D, anti-codon, and T loops). The record is from Rfam by way of RNAcentral. Lineage: Eukaryota; Metazoa; Chordata; Mammalia; Rodentia; Bathyergidae.
GGGGAUUUAGCUCAGUGGCUCUGAGUCUGCCUUGCAAGCACAAGGUCCUGAGUUCGAUCCUCAGCACCCCUG